RNAcentral lists this long non-coding RNA (2193 nucleotides) under Marmota monax (woodchuck). The record is from RNAcentral. Lineage: Eukaryota; Metazoa; Chordata; Mammalia; Rodentia; Sciuridae.
AAUUCAUGAUGAAAGUGAGUCCACACUUUAACAUCUAGUAUGUAGUUAGGACAUAAAAUUUGUAUAUGAUAAUAGAAGCUCAUGCAACUUUUGGUCUACAUUCUUUCCUUUCAUUUAAAAGAAAUGGUGACAUUGGUCAACAUAAGAUUUGAAAGUGUUUAAUACAGACAUGAAAUAAAAAGUUUAUAGUUUAUGAAUUUUGUGGAGACACAUUCAGAUUAAACUGAGUAAAACUGAUCCCAAACUGCCAAGUUUAGAUUAUGAAAUCUUCAUAUAUACAAACCAAUUUUUGGUCCUCAUACAACUUAAGAAGUUUAGAGACAUUUGAAAGCACUUAGAAUUGCAAAUAAUUUACUCCCAAGUUUUUGUUUUCUCCCAGCAUUACUAUAACUAAUAAUGUAAUUCCAAUGGUGCAAUUGCCAUCAGUAGUUUAUACCUCAGGUAUAUAUUAAAUAUGUCAACUCUGGGCAAGUUAAUUUAUCUCCUUGGGCCUUCAUCACACCUAGUUAUUUAUUUAAUAUUAUUUAUUUAAUAAAGGGGUUAUGAGGAUAAAAGGAUUACAAUUACAAGCUAUGGUAAUUAAUACUAGUGUAAGGUACACUAGUAUACUCUUUCAUUUGCCGAAUCUCAAUUUGAUUACUAUUGGUUAUUCAUGUUAGUUAUUCAGUUUGACCAACUGUACUGGUCAUCAUCUUGUCAAUGUGACCAAAAUACCCAAUAUAAAUAACUUAAAGAAGGAACAAUUUAUUCUGGAUCACAGUUUUAGAAGUUUCAGUCCAAGGUAAGUUGGUUCCCUUGCUUUAAGCCUGAACCAAGGCAUAUUAUCAUAGUGGAAAAGCAUGGCACAAGAAAACUGCUCACCUGAAGGCAGAUGGGAAGUUGAGAGAGAGAGCAAAAGGGACCAAAGAAAAGAAAUACCCUUCUAGAACAUGUCCCCAGUGACCUAAUUUCUCCAAUCAGCCUUACCUUGUAGAUUUUCUACUACCUCCCCAAAAUGUCAUCAAGUUAUUUAUCCAUCUGUGGAAUUAAUGCACUGAUGAGAGCAGAUCCCUCAUGAUCUAAGCAUUUCCUGAAAGUCUCACCUCUGAAUAUCCCAGCAUUGGGGACUGAGACUUCAACUUGAGCCUUUGAGGAACAUUUCAGAUCCAAACCAUAAUAUCAACAAGAGUAAGGACAACGUCUUUUAAAGGAAACCCCAAUUUUGAUAGAAAAAGUAAGAAAGACUCCAAAGUUCAUUUUUAGGUCUUGUUAAUUAUGCUAAUUACAUUCACAGAUAUAAGAAUGAGAUAGUUUUACUGAGGAGAGUUUUUUUUUUUUUAAUAAAAAAAUUCACUGCAGAUACAAUAAAUGUGGCAGCACUAAUUUCUGGCUCCUUAGAGCCAUAUAGGUUAUCAUGGGAGCUGGUUUAUAGAGCAGAGUUAGUAGAGUUGUUAAAGAUAGAAGACAACCAAAGCAGAAAUUGAUAGCCCACUUUUUCUCUUUCACAAUUGAGUUUAAUAUUAUCCAAAUUCAUAAGAUGCUUGCUUGAUAUAAAAUCCUUCAAAGUUACUGAAGAUAAAUAAUGCAUAAUUGAAGCACAUAUUGAAAGGAUUGAAUUCACAAAAGAUUUAACUAUUAUCUGAGAACUGGGAUUAGAAUGGAGAUUUUUGUGUCCAGUCUUCUUAUUAUAAUCAUGAGAACCCUGCAUUUCCCAGACUAGAAUUGCCACAGGUCAUACACCUGGUCUCAGGUAGAGAUGGCAAGAUCCAUGUUAUCAAACUACAAGUAAAGAUUUCCUUUAAGGGCCCUACUCAAGGAAAGUACUGUAAACACAGAAAAAACUUCAUAUUCAGUUAUUUAUGAUUCACAUAAUUAUAGUUUAAGUCUGCCCUGAAUUAUAAAAAUCUUGUUGACUACUCAAAAGGUAUAGCUUUUAAAGCACAGUCUGAAUAUUUUUAAAAAAAGAAAGAAAGAAAAAACAACCCAGAAAAUUUAGUUUGGCCAUAAACAGAAGAUGAAGUUUCUUUCUGUAAGUUUGAGUAUUAUUUCAUUUCAGCCAUUUCUAACAUUAAUAAUGCAGUUACCAUGGAGAUAAAAUGAAUUAAGGCACCUAAAAUUCUAGGGCUCCAUCAGUUAAAUUCUAUCUUUUGCCUAUUAAGUGUACAGUUUGAUAUUCAACUUAGAUUUUAUUCUCUAUAAUUGAAAUAACCAUUG